Perognathus longimembris pacificus (Pacific pocket mouse) is the source of this 4604-nucleotide long non-coding RNA. RefSeq lists it as uncharacterized. The transcript has 3 exons. Lineage: Eukaryota; Metazoa; Chordata; Mammalia; Rodentia; Heteromyidae. The record is from RefSeq and is a predicted model, not a curated record.
AGAAAUAAGAAGGAAGCUAGACAUGAAAGCAGAAACUUUGUAUUUAGUUGUCAGUACCCUACCAGGGUGGAGAACCUUUUUUUUUUCUGCCAAGGUCAUUUAGAUAUUUAUAACAGUAUUCACAAGCCCCAUAAAAUUAUCAAUACAGACAGAUGGCCUUGGGUAGCUGAUAAGAGCCAUGGAGAAGCAUAUGUGUUUAUCCAGUGAUGUACCAAAUAGUUUUGAGGUCCUUAUGUGGCCUAAAGGCUCCUGUCUCUUGUGGACUAAGCAACUAAUACAUUGGAUAGAUAUUUUAAUUCUUUUUUCCAUUUCUGUCUGAUUAUAGAUCUGGAAGAGAGGAACUAUGUUAGGGUUUAAAUUAAUAGGAUACACAAGGCCUCUCUCACCUGUGCUUCAACAUUAAUAUUCCAUGAAAUAUAAAUUUUGUGUCUCUUGCAGUAAACAAAAAUGCAUGGGAUUAGGAGGACCAGGGUGAUGCAAGAUUUUUUAUAAUUAUUGAACAGUACAGUGACAUACAUGUACAUAUGUUUGUAGACACACACAUGCUGAUCAAGACUCAUCAAAUGGACUCCAUCACCCCUCCAUCACCACUGAAUGUGUUCACAACUACAGUUUUAAAAACCCUGUUGUCAAGAAAGUUGAGAAAAUUUUGACCUUUCAGCCAAACCCUGCCCACCCAGUGCUCUGUCUUUGUACAACCCACCACCUGUUUUUAGACAGUCUGUAUGUUAAAAGCAAUCUUGACAUUUUCAUGUGGUUUAAAAUAAACAGAAAAGAAGAACUGUAUUUCUUGUAUAGAGUUUAUGUGAAAUAAACAUUUUGAUGCCUACAAACAAUGCUGGAGUGGAAUGCAGCUGGCUUCUUUCUGGAAUGGUGGCAGUGAGGAUUAGCAAGAGGGACCAAUGUUUAUUUCCUGGUUCUUUAGAAAAAGUGUGACAACUCAGAAACUCUGAGGGUUCUGACCUGGAACAUCCGACCAAUUUGUGACAUUGGACAUUGGAGUGGAAUGUUUCAGUCUCCAGAUUCUAAAAGAACUAUCAGCAAUAUUAGAUAGAACAGUACUUUUUAUGAUGAGAGUUAACUCCUCAAAGGUGAUUGAGUUAUCUCCACUAAAGAGAAAGACAGAGGGAAAGAGAAAGUGGAGGCAGAGGAAGGGAGAAUUUCCCUGCUUUCCCGUUUCGGUAUUUGGAGGGCAAUAAUCUAGUUCUAUCAAAGAACAUUUUAAUUUUUAAUAAGGUUUUCUUGUGGAGGCACUUAAUCUGUGGUGGAAGAUAAAGAUUACGUAUGUAUUUUUUAAACUACCCCUUUGGAAUUUACUAACUUAUCAUCCUGCAUUCCCUCUAUGAAGUAAGGCCAAGCUAGGCCUAUUUGAACAAAUCCCACUUAAAAUUCAAGAAACCAAUGUCAGAUGAAAAGUGCUGUUAGAAUGGCCACAAACAAAGUUCUCAUAAAAGGCUAAUGCCAUUCAUCUAGAAUUACAGGAAAGAAAGUGAGAACGAGAGGAGAGGCCGGCGUUUAAAGCCCCCCAGCUUUUGUGAGGCCCACAAGAUGGAAAAGAAAGCUCCCAUUAGCAUUCUGGCCAGAGUCCCUUUGUCCAGUGUAAUCAGAGGAGAGGGGUGGCAAUAACAUCUUGCAGGGGCGGGGGAGGGGUGCGCGGAGGUAGGAACAGGAGGCUGAAGGGAAGCGAAAGAAUAAAGGGAAAAGCCAUCUGAUGUUAUGGGCCAGUUCUGGUAGACAGACAAAUGUCAAGACUUUACAGCAGUGGGGGCAGUGGCACUGGGCAGUAGACAAACUCCUGGGGGAUGUCCCUUGAGAAUGCUAGACAGAGCACGGCACUCAGCCAGCAAGCCCUGCAUACACAGACUGCAAGGCUGGAUGAAGGGCCCUUCUGUCACUCCCCCAUCAUCCUUCCCUCCUCACUUCUCCAGGAACCACUCUCCUCUUUGCUCCUCUUGGCUCAGCUUGAGAACAUGCCAUUGGCCACCAUGAGAAGCAAUACUGCAUCUCCUCCUCCUCCCCAUCCCACUCCAUGCCAAGAGAGCUAGAGGGCCUUAUAGAUGCCACACCCUUGCUCUUUGGUACCAAAGCUGUCACUAAGAACUGUUUAUUCUUUGGGAAUGGAGCCAGAAGGCCUAGGUUGUGAUAUAUUCAUGCCAGCGCAGGCUCUCACUAUCAUGAUGCAGGAACUACCUUAAAGCAGCUGGAGACCCCCUGAUGCCCAUGGCAAGCUGAACAUCAGGGAGAAACAUUCUGGGGAGAUUGUGGCCUAAGGCCUAACUGGAAAAGCUGCUUUUCUUCUGAAAUCAGAGUUAAGACUGAAGUAUCUCCCUGUAUCUCAUUCCUGCAACAGGGCUGCUGAAGCCUGAGAAACCCCAACCACUAAGACCAUGGAGUAGAAAGGAAGAGGGGCAGAUUCUAGACAACAAUGUGCAAGUGCCUCUGGAUCUUGAUCUCACAGGGAAGCCUGUGCAUGUACACUUAUGAAAACACAAAGAAGAUGGGGAAAGAAAGAGGGGAGGAGGGAGGGAGAGCAUUUAAGUGAGCAUUCCUAGCCCUACAAGCCCCACCACAGCAAUGGUUCAAAACAAAAGGGAACAGGCACCUGCUUUAAGAGUUUACUUUCUCCUCUCUUUCUCCUCAUUUUCCUAUCAGAAAUCACAAACUUGCACAGGAACUCACUUGACUCAUAGAGAAUGGUAUCUCCUGAGUCCAUAAAUCAGCUCGGAUGAAAUCGCCUUUUUCUUUUUUUUUAAAGGUCUGGGAAUUAGUGUUGCUUACUAGGAAUGCCCCCAAAAGAUAAAAAAGAAUUACAAAAUUCUAUCAUUAAUGUGAAUGAGGGAUUUUUCCAAGAAGGAAAAACACAUGGUCAAGUGUAGCUUGUUCAACAGUUGGAAGUUUGGGAUGAGUGAAGAGCUUUGUGCACAUUUUGGAGAAGGUCAGAUGGCAAUGACCUUCCUGUAACAUCUGGGAGCUUGUCACAUAGUCUUUAGGAUCUAAUGGAGACUCUAGCAAUCAUCGGUAUCCCAACAGAACUUUGGGCUGAGGGGACAGGGUGAGAAGUCUUACUUAAAGAUAAAGGCAAGUAGGAAAUGCUGUCACUGUGCAAAUAUUAACAGGUCCCAACAUGUAUCAAGAGAUGUAGUGUUACCAGCGCUCUACUUAGUUGAAAAUUCACAUGGGGGUGGCUACUGUCCUGAUCCAAAUAAGGAUCUUUCAUUCUUGGGGUUGUUGGAGAAAAUACAGCAAAAACAUAUAACUAAGGUCAUUUAUCUAGUUGCCUAAACUUAAAUCUAGUUUUUGCAGCAUUUCAAUAAAUGUUAUGGCUAGAACCUUGAUUAAAAGAUGCUCCAUGUCUCCCAGUUGCCCGUGUCCUCUCAACAUCUCUUCAAGUCACCCAACCCCCACCCUGAUUACAUCAGCAGUGGAGCCUGAGACUGCAACACCACACUGUUCAACAGAGUUUCCAAAACCCCAUACACAUAAGCAUCAAGAAAACAAUUUAACUGAAAACCAGAGUAGGAUCUUUGUACCCAGAUUACCAAAUGAUGCUUUCAUAGUGUAUAUGUGUAUGUGGUGGUGGGGGGGGACCAUUCCCCAAGCUCUGAUAUGUUUCUUUCUGCUCCUUGCCCUGCCACCCAAAUGUACCCAUGUGACUCCAGAAUACUCAUUUCUGGUUCCAGUGGCCCAAAGAUCUCCCACAAGUCCUACCUCUUAAACUUCCUACCUCUUGCCAAUAGUACCAUUCUGAGGACUAAGCCUUAUCUGAUACACCGGCUAGGGGAUACUUGAGACCCAGACUAUCACACCAUUUCUGAUUAGUGACUCUUUAUAGCGGGGAAGAUACUAUUCUACGCCAAGUGACCAUGUAAUGGACCACCCAGUCUCAUCAUCCAAUGCCAUUGUUUUCUCUCUCUAGCUUUGUCCAUUCUCAAGUAGGCAACACGGUAGCCAAAGUGCUGCUCUGAGGGCCAAAGGGUUGCAGUAUAGACUCCGUCCCUAAAGCCGGGAUAAUGUGGGGCCUUUGUGCUGUGCUUUUUCCUUUAAACACAUAUACUGAAAGGUAAAACAAGGCUCUUACUGAGUUUACAAAACACUAGUGGUUCUCUAGUGGUUGCAUUCCAAUUCUUAUCUUGGGUUUCCAUACUCCACCUCUCUUUUGGCCACUAUCCUCCCAGUUCAAAACAACAGAAAUUCAUACUGAAGACUGGUAAUUCCUCAAAUGGCAUAUGAUAUAUAGAGGCCCGAAUAUCACCAGUUUCUGCAUGUUCAAAUUGAAAAUCAGAAGAAAGACAUUGAUGUAUUAUGUAUAGUAGGAUGUCUUUGAACUUAAAAAGAUACUGUUCACUGAGUCCUCAUAUCCUAAUCCUGGCAACACAGAAACUCCUCCUUGGCCUAAAAGUCAAAAUUGUGUGUGUGUGUGUGUGUGUGUGUGUGAAUAUGCAUGCCUAGGGAAAGGAAGAGGAUGGCGGACAGAGACAGGCAAAAAGCAAGUGGAGGAAGGAGGAAAAUGGAGAGAGAAGAUGUGUUUAAUACAUAAUUAAUUUAACAACAAAAACAAACCUAGGUUCUAGCUAGGCACCAGUGGCUCAUGCCUGUAAUCCUAA